GUGCUCGCUUCGGCAGCACAUAUACUAAAAUUGGAACGAUACAGAGAAGAUUAGCAUGGCCCCUGUGCAAGGAUGACACCCAACUGAGGGGUUCUUGCCACACAUCU
This is a small nuclear RNA of Ochotona princeps (American pika), 107 nucleotides long. NCBI's taxonomy places the organism in Eukaryota, Metazoa, Chordata, Mammalia, Lagomorpha, Ochotonidae. The record is from Ensembl.